This 399-nucleotide ribosomal RNA is filed under the name Escherichia coli. RNAcentral describes it as "bacterial SSU rRNA". It matches the Rfam family "Bacterial small subunit ribosomal RNA", at positions 572 to 970 of the family's 1533-position model. The record is from RNAcentral. Lineage: Bacteria; Pseudomonadati; Pseudomonadota; Gammaproteobacteria; Enterobacterales; Enterobacteriaceae.
CAGGCGGUUUGUUAAGUCAGAUGUGAAAUCCCCGGGCUCAACCUGGGAACUGCAUCUGAUACUGGCAAGCUUGAGUCUCGUAGAGGGGGGUAGAAUUCCAGGUGUAGCGGUGAAAUGCGUAGAGAUCUGGAGGAAUACCGGUGGCGAAGGCGGCCCCCUGGACGAAGACUGACGCUCAGGUGCGAAAGCGUGGGGAGCAAACAGGAUUAGAUACCCUGGUAGUCCACGCCGUAAACGAUGUCGACUUGGAGGUUGUGCCCUUGAGGCGUGGCUUCCGGAGCUAACGCGUUAAGUCGACCGCCUGGGGAGUACGGCCGCAAGGUUAAAACUCAAAUGAAUUGACGGGGGCCCGCACAAGCGGUGGAGCAUGUGGUUUAAUUCGAUGCAACGCGAAGAACC